CUUGGAACCAAAUCGAAAAUCAAAUUCAAAUCGCGAAGUAGAACUAGUGUCGCCGAUGUAACUCGUGAAGCCGUAACAUCGGGGAAAAUAAGGAUAACUAUAGUCGGAGAAAGAGUAUCACCUAACUAAGGCCCAAACUAUCAGACUCAAGUCUGCUACACCAGUCUACAGGGAUCUAAGUCGGCCGAGCGACGUCGGGGCAAAACUAAGACCUAUUGGAUUCGAAUAAUGUAUUUCUGAAGCAAGCCCUAGUCAAACCUAAACUAAGG
This 269-nucleotide long non-coding RNA is filed under the name Solanum tuberosum (potato). RNAcentral's name for it is "long non-coding RNA (STUB_LNC003033)". The record is from RNAcentral. Lineage: Eukaryota; Viridiplantae; Streptophyta; Magnoliopsida; Solanales; Solanaceae.